CAGUGUAUGGUGGGUAGUUUGACUGGGGCGGUCUCCUCCUAAAGAGUAACGGAGGAGUACGAAGGUGCGCUCAGACCGGUCGGAAAUCGGUCGUAGAGUAUAAAGGCAAAAGCGCGCUUGACUGCGAGACAGACACGUCGAGCAGGUACGAAAGUAGGUCUUAGUGAUCCGGUGGUUCUGUAUGGAAGGGCCAUCGCUCAACGGAUAAAAGGUACUCCGGGGAUAACAGGCUGAUACCGCCCAAGAGUUCAUAUCGACGGCGGUGUUUGGCACCUCGAUGUCGGCUCAUCACAUCCUGGGGCUGAAGC
This 308-nucleotide non-coding RNA is filed under the name Bacillus gaemokensis. RNAcentral's name for it is "bacterial LSU rRNA". It matches the Rfam family "Bacterial large subunit ribosomal RNA", at positions 2252 to 2559 of the family's 2925-position model. The record is from RNAcentral. Lineage: Bacteria; Bacillati; Bacillota; Bacilli; Caryophanales; Bacillaceae.